UACAGAGGUCCCAAGCGUUGUUCGGAUUCAUUGGGCGUAAAGGGUGCGUAGGUGGCGGGGUAAGUCAGGUGUGAAAUUUCGGAGCUUAACUCCGAAACUGCAUUUGAUACUGCCUUGCUUGAGGACUGGAGAGGAGACUGGAAUUCACGGUGUAGCAGUGAAAUGCGUAGAGAUCGUGAGGAAGACCAGUGGCGAAGGCGGGUCUCUGGACAGUUCCUGACACUGAGGCACGAAGGCCAGGGGAGCAAACGGG
Molecule: ribosomal RNA, 253 nt
Filed under: uncultured bacterium
Lineage: Bacteria
Description: partial 16S ribosomal RNA
Rfam family: Bacterial small subunit ribosomal RNA
Source: RNAcentral